RNAcentral lists this ribosomal RNA (434 nucleotides) under uncultured Bifidobacterium sp. RNAcentral's name for it is "bacterial SSU rRNA". It matches the Rfam family "Bacterial small subunit ribosomal RNA", at positions 349 to 782 of the family's 1533-position model. The record is from RNAcentral. Lineage: Bacteria; Bacillati; Actinomycetota; Actinomycetes; Bifidobacteriales; Bifidobacteriaceae.
CAGCAGUGGGGAAUAUUGCACAAUGGGCGCAAGCCUGAUGCAGCGACGCCGCGUGCGGGAUGGAGGCCUUCGGGUUGUAAACCGCUUUUGUUCAAGGGCAAGGCACGGUUUUUGGCCGUGUUGAGUGGAUUGUUCGAAUAAGCACCGGCUAACUACGUGCCAGCAGCCGCGGUAAUACGUAGGGUGCAAGCGUUAUCCGGAUUUAUUGGGCGUAAAGGGCUCGUAGGCGGUUCGUCGCGUCCGGUGUGAAAGUCCAUCGCUUAACGGUGGAUCCGCGCCGGGUACGGGCGGGCUUGAGUGCGGUAGGGGAGACUGGAAUUCCCGGUGUAACGGUGGAAUGUGUAGAUAUCGGGAAGAACACCAAUGGCGAAGGCAGGUCUCUGGGCCGUUACUGACGCUGAGGAGCGAAAGCGUGGGGAGCGAACAGGAUUAGA